AUUGAACGCUGGCGGCAGGCCUAACACAUGCAAGUCGAACGGUAACAGGAAACAGCUUGCUACCGGACCUAGCGGCGGACGGGUGAGUAAUGCUUAGAAAUCUGCCUAUUAGUGGGGGACAACAUUCCGAAAGGAAUGCUAAUACCGCAUACGCCCUACGGGGGAAAGCAGGGGAUCUUCGGACCUUGCGCUAAUAGAUGAGCCUAAGUCAGAUUAGCUAGUUGGUGGGGUAAAGGCCUACCAAGGCGACGAUCUGUAGCGGGUCUGAGAGGAUGAUCCGCCACACUGGGACUGAGACACGGCCCAGACUCCUACGGGAGGCAGCAGUGGGGAAUAUUGGACAAUGGGCGCAAGCCUGAUCCAGCCAUGCCGCGUGUGUGAAGAAGGCCUUUUGGUUGUAAAGCACUUUAAGCGAGGAGGAGGCUACUUGGAUUAAUACUCUAGGAUAGUGGACGUUACUCGCAGAAUAAGCACCGGCUAACUCUGUGCCAGCCGCCGCGGUAA
RNAcentral lists this ribosomal RNA (504 nucleotides) under uncultured bacterium. RNAcentral describes it as "partial 16S ribosomal RNA". It matches the Rfam family "Bacterial small subunit ribosomal RNA", at positions 30 to 523 of the family's 1533-position model. The record is from RNAcentral.